This is a small nuclear RNA of Ictidomys tridecemlineatus (thirteen-lined ground squirrel), 64 nucleotides long. Its record names the gene U7. It matches the Rfam family "U7 small nuclear RNA". From Rfam's summary of the family: Animal histone pre-mRNAs are spliced by a different mechanism than nuclear pre-mRNAs and self-splicing introns. This processing involves the U7 snRNP, which contains only one RNA species: U7. The 5' end of U7 RNA is thought to base-pair to a conserved spacer element downstream of the cleavage site in histone pre-mRNA. NCBI's taxonomy places the organism in Eukaryota, Metazoa, Chordata, Mammalia, Rodentia, Sciuridae. The record is from Ensembl.
UAGUGUUGCAGCACUUUUAGGAUUUGUCUAGCAAGCUUUCUGAGCUUUUGUCAGAAGCACUCCC